Patella vulgata (common limpet) is the source of this 1824-nucleotide long non-coding RNA. RefSeq lists it as uncharacterized. The record is from RefSeq and is a predicted model, not a curated record. The transcript has 4 exons. Lineage: Eukaryota; Metazoa; Mollusca; Gastropoda; Patellidae.
AUGGGAGUGGUGUUUUAUUUCUGUGUCUUCAAGGUAUUAGCACAUGUAUAAUAUCCAUCAUUUCACCUGAAAAUAUUAAUUUACACACAGCCAAAGACAGUUGAAUGUUUUAAAGGGAGAUUCACGGGUACCGAGAAGCCAAUUUAUAUAAGGGUUGGACAAGUCUGGUUUUGCAUUAAGGUCAACAAGUUAAAAUGUUAACACAGCAUAUCUGAUGUUAUCAGGCACGACUACACCGAACAUUCCAUCGGAGAGCCCAUCUGGUAAUACAAUUGCUCUGUUAGUGUGUGGUAUAAUCGCGGGAACUUUGGUAUUUGCUUUCUUUUGGUACUAUUGUUGCUGUAGAAGAAACGAUUCAACGGACUUAGAUGAAGAAAACGACAGAACUGUUAACAACAGAUCUAAUAGUGCAAUAUUUAUUGUUUCACCAGUCUAUAUAUUAGAUGAUAGUACCUUACCACCACCUUAUACCAGUAUACUAAAUGAGGACAACACAUCUGUUUCCGAACCCGUCCAAACUAUACCACGUGAACGACCUCCAUCUUAUUCAGAAUUACCCAGCUACGAAAAUGCGGCUCAAUAUGUGAUAACUGAUAAUACGAAUAAUGAUGAAGAGGCACGAGAUUUCAGGGGGCCGCAACGACGGAUAUCGAGGGAGAGAAUUCGAAGUCCACCACGCCAGUUGCGUAUACAAAGGCAUAUUAGUUCUGAAAAUGACGCUAGUGGAAACAUUAUUUCCAACCAAGAAACUGAUCCUUUGGAAAUUGAUAACACUAUUGGAUUGCAGCAUUCUUCCGAUACAAGCGUCUAAUAAUAAAUAAACAUAAUAGUGAGACCAUGUUGUAUUGGACUAUAAGCAGGAGGAACAGGUGACAUGUGCAUUAAUAGUCAACGGGUGUCUAAGAUGGGCCUGUGCACUUCUUCCCUUUUUAUACAAAUAAGCCGAGAUCUUAAUGGAAAAGGGCGCAGCAUAGUUUAUGGCGAUAUUUGAGUAGCAACCUGCAGUUAGGAUAAUACUAGACAUGACACCUUUUGGUUCGACCCACCGUGACCCGAGAGCAGGUCUGCAUCUACACAGCUCUAUUUGUCAAUAACUAUCAUGAACAGAGUCGUCAUUAAGGGAGAAAUGGCUAUGAAUGAUUUUCCUUUAAAACUUUUGAUUAUUGUUUCACAAUUACAAUUAAGCAUAUACCAGACACGGGCUCAAAAUGAUCUAAUAUCAAUCCAGUCGGAUAGACAGACAUUUUCGUUUGAAGAAAACGGCCAAUCACAAAAUGCGAUACUGACAGACUGGCGUCGCAAGGAGUGGGUGUGAUAGAUUUACUUUUCUUGUGUGUAAUUAUGUUAUUUAUAACAAAUUGGGUUUAGCAAGGUGAAAUUAAAAUGCACGAAUCAUUGCUAAUCCAAACACGUCAGAUCUAUCCCAAUGUUUUAGUGAUGUUCUCGAAGCUAGUAAUACAAUCGGUCUUUUAAAUUUUCUUAUUUAAUAUCAUUAAAGAAAAAAAUAUAAUUUUGUUACGUGUUCAUUGCGGAGAACAAAUUUUCGUGGAUGUCAGCAAGAUUAAUAAGUAAAAGGCUGGUAAUUGGGGAUUUAGAGAGUUAUAUUACCAGUCCAAGGCUACAAGGUAAAAUAUAUAAUUCGCCAAAAUACAAAACAUGUAAUCGGGUCACAACCUCCAGAUCCGUGACCAUUUCUCGGGGAACAAGGUUUGACGAUGGUUUCUGAUAGAACGGACACCCUAGUGAAGAUAUUUUUCUAAAGACUUAGUGUGGUAAGAGUUUAGAACAAAGUGUACCGUUGGAAAGCCAGUAUCAUAUAUUAUC